GAACGACGAAUAAACCCUCGCGAACGGAAAAGGCCAUCGGUGACGGAGUGGCCAAGCAGAGGCGAAUUAUCCACCGCUCGGAAGGGAGUAGAGGAGUGUGGGAUCGAAUCACGCAUUCUAGCGAUUUGAUUACCGUGGAUCUCUGGUUCGAGAAGAUUGAAGGAACUUGAAAAACCUUGAACUCUCAGCGCGAAAAUUAGGUCACGCAAUUAGAAAACUCCAAAC
RNAcentral lists this unclassified non-coding RNA (225 nucleotides) under Hevea brasiliensis (rubber tree). The record is from RNAcentral. Lineage: Eukaryota; Viridiplantae; Streptophyta; Magnoliopsida; Malpighiales; Euphorbiaceae.